This is a long non-coding RNA of Belonocnema kinseyi, 1285 nucleotides long. RefSeq lists it as uncharacterized. Lineage: Eukaryota; Metazoa; Arthropoda; Insecta; Hymenoptera; Cynipidae. The transcript has 5 exons. The record is from RefSeq and is a predicted model, not a curated record.
GUCCAUGAAGUGAAUAAACAUUGUGGAUACUUGAUACCUCGUAAAAAAAUAGUUUAAUUGUCCAUUUAUCGUAGAGUGUAGACAAUUUUUUCUUUCUUUUCUUAGAGCAUGGCAUUGAUAAAUACGCGUUUGAGGCUCUCACGCCUGAUAGUAUUUUCUUUGAAGAACUCUUGGCAAACGAAGUGCUUAAAAUACAAAUAAAAUUUGAACGAAAGCUGCGAGAUUACAUCGUGUUAAGGGACAAAACUAUUUCCAAUUCAAGAUUGAAUCAGGAUAAUAGUUCUUUUCAGAAAUUAUCAAAUAUAUCACCAACUGAAUUGUUUGAAGGUGGUUAUGAUAACGAUUCCGUGUUGGAGUUGACACUUUUUCCAUGCCGCCCGAGACCCUCAGCGAAUUUUCUAGCCUCCUGGACACCUUCUUUAAAUAAAGGAUUUGCUGCACUGUCCUUUUCAAACUGCAGUGCCUCGUCUAUUUGAAUAGCGCCAAAUGUAGCAUAGUGGGCGGAUAAACGAUCUGCGAGCAGUGCUUCUUGGGGAUGAUAGGUCAUAUGUUUCGCCAAUAGUGUCGCUUGACCCACAGCUGUAAGCAAGAAAUUAUUUUUCGAAAAAUCAGAGUACGAAUUGGCAAUUGAGUACAUGAUAAUUAAGUGAGAACAGUUUAUAUUUUGGAGAAUCACAAAAACACAAGAUGACGUGCAACGGGAUUGCAAUUUAAUGCAUUUUUGAGAACUAUCGGUGCCUUAAAAAACAUGUUCUUCUUUGCGCAAUCUCUUAGUGGACGCUUGAGAGGCACCCGGAAGAUUAUAAGCAACGCGGACUUGAAAAAUUUUCCAAAUAUUUCUAAAUCUGAAGAAGUAAACACAAAUGUCUGACAUCAUGUUUUCGGAAACGAUAGGGAAUUCUACAGGGCAGCAAUAUUGCAAGCUGCAGCAACUGUGACUGAACUGCAACAAAAAAUUGACAGUUUUCGGACCCGUAAUGUCAACUAAAAAUACCUGGGAUCUGCGGCACCAUCUUCCGUAACGGAAAAUAUAAAAAAGGAAAUUUCGUUGAACGUAGACACAGGGAUCGGAUUUCGUCGGUUCCACUCUAAUGGAUCGUAAAUCCCUAUUCAGACGUCUCUACCAGUCUACCAGACGCGUCCAGCUUGUUUUAGCCCAUAGAGUUUACCUCAUCAGGCAUACCAUUGUCGUUCGUAUGGAAUUCAAAUGUGCGACUGGUGCAUAUGUCUCAUGAAAACAGCCCUACAAGAUCAUCAUAACAAAAUUUUUGGAUUUUCUUCAAAA